UAGGGAAUCUUCGGCAAUGGACGGAAGUCUGACCGAGCAACGCCGCGUGAGUGAAGAAGGUUUUCGGAUCGUAAAGCUCUGUUGUUAGAGAAGAACGUUGGUAGGAGUGGAAAAUCUACCAAGUGACGGUAACUAACCAGAAAGGGACGGCUAACUACGUGCCAGCAGCCGCGGUAAUACGUAGGUCCCGAGCGUUGUCCGGAUUUAUUGGGCGUAAAGCGAGCGCAGGCGGUUCUUUAAGUCUGAAGUUAAAGGCAGUGGCUUAACCAUUGUACGCUUUGGAAACUGGAGGACUUGAGUGCAGAAGGGGAGAGUGGAAUUCCAUGUGUAGCGGUGAAAUGCGUAGAUAUAUGGAGGACCACCGGUGGAGAAAGCGGCUCUCUGGUAUGUAACUGACGCUGAGGCUCGAAAGCGUGGGGAGCAAACAGG
RNAcentral lists this ribosomal RNA (429 nucleotides) under Bacillota bacterium. RNAcentral describes it as "Firmicutes bacterium partial 16S ribosomal RNA". It matches the Rfam family "Bacterial small subunit ribosomal RNA", at positions 355 to 776 of the family's 1533-position model. Lineage: Bacteria; Bacillati; Bacillota. The record is from RNAcentral.